RNAcentral lists this small RNA (726 nucleotides) under Drosophila pseudoobscura pseudoobscura. Its description in RNAcentral is "GA25387". Lineage: Eukaryota; Metazoa; Arthropoda; Insecta; Diptera; Drosophilidae. The record is from RNAcentral.
UCUAUUCCAAUGACUGUUUUUUCUUAGUUCUUCUUUUUGUAUUCCCUCCAGCUCUAUUGGCCGACACCCUCUCUAGCCACAAACUGCUUACCCCUCCAGAUCGCACCUUCAGGUGGCCGCGGACCAUCGUUUACCAGCGCCUUCACCCACUUGGUCUUCCGGUGCAUAUGCUCGAUGCGGAUGCCCACUCCAGGCGCCUGACCGGCUGACAUCGCUACUUCCCCGCCGGCUCCUGCGCACGGGUCCACUGGCCUGGGCGACCUUUGUGUCCGUCGGUACAUCCGCCGCGGGUGAUUCCGCCGUAGCUCCUCGUCCUCUCGGAAGGUCCAAGGGGAUGUUAUCUUGGCUGGACUGUGGCAGUGGCUGCUACGAACAUGCUACGAGCUAUAGCCAGUCGACAACGUGGCGUCCCAUCCGCUGCAGCAAGGACCCGUAAUCGACGGCGGAAUUGUUGGUUCACGUCCGCGGGAUAUAUUGUGAGCAAGCAGCCCCUUUAUACGCCGCCGAAUCAAACACUGGGCUUCAUCUUCGACACGCAGGACUAAUGUACCCUAUGUUUUGCAACAAAACGGAUCGUGUCCGACAGCAGGACAGAAGCGCACCCCUUGCACAAUCGGAACCUAACAAUCCAUCUUUAUUCUUCGACAUGGUCAUCGACAACGAGGACUUUGACUAUGGCAACCAAGGAAGGUGCUACGCGGGCUACUAGACUCUAGAUAGAUAUCG